RNAcentral lists this ribosomal RNA (497 nucleotides) under uncultured bacterium. RNAcentral describes it as "partial 16S ribosomal RNA". It matches the Rfam family "Bacterial small subunit ribosomal RNA", at positions 28 to 507 of the family's 1533-position model. The record is from RNAcentral.
GAUGAACGCUGGCGGCGUGCCUAAUACAUGCAAGUCGAGCGAACAGACGAGGAGCUUGCUCCUCUGACGUUAGCGGCGGACGGGUGAGUAACACGUGGAUAACCUACCUAUAAGACUGGGAUAACUUCGGGAAACCGGAGCUAAUACCAGAUAAUAUAUUGAACCGCAUGGUUCAAUAGUGAAAGACGGUUUUGCUGUCACUUAUAGAUGGAUCCGCGCCGCAUUAGCUAGUUGGUAAGGUAACGGCUUACCAAGGCAACGAUGCGUAGCCGACCUGAGAGGGUGAUCGGCCACACUGGAACCGAGACACGGUCCAGACUCCUACGGGAGGCAGCAGUAGGGAAUCUUCCGCAAUGGGCGAAAGCCUGACGGAGCAACGCCGCGUGAGUGAUGAAGGUCUUCGGAUCGUAAAACUCUGUUAUUAGGGAAGAACAAAUGUGUAAGUAACUAUGCACGUCUUGACGGUACCUAAUCAGAAAGCCACGGCUAACUACGUG